GAAAUACUGGAGAAACCCGGGAAAACGGGAGUGUUGGCAGAUCCAUCUCCAUGACAACUGAGAAAACGCCAUCCGCUGAUGAAGGCCAGGCUACUGUAAUUCAAAAGGACGGAGAGACUUUGUAUAAAAGGAGAAAAACUUCUAUUGAUGUCCUGCUGGUCGCCCAGAAGUGGUCAAUGAGGGUCACAGAUGACUUAACAGUCCUUUAGUGCCAGACUUGGCCUCCACCAUCACUGAACUGCAGCUGGAUUUGUGGAUUACCAUCGACUCAUCUCACAUGGCGGCCUGCUGAAUUAAUACUUAAUGAAUGCUUUUCCUCGCUGUUGCUAUUUAAUUAUCUUUUACACUCAGUAUAAACCAAACUCUGCACCAGAUGUCUGUCUGUUCCAUUUGUCUGGCAACUAAUGAGCACCAUUUGCCGGAAAGGUAUUUUAUAUUAUAGCUAACUCCUGGCUAGUUUGUUCAUUUACUUGUUAACACUGAAAAUUAUAAUGUUAAUGGAAUUGCUGAGUGCCACAUUUCUCACCUAAAACUUCUCCAAGAGAGACACUGCUGUAUUAUUCUGAGUAUGGAGCCAUUAUGUAAGUCCCAGAAAGUGUUCUCAACAUGUCCUGCCAUUUAAGGUGGAGUAAAAAGACUCAGACUCUG
Siniperca chuatsi (mandarin fish) is the source of this 648-nucleotide long non-coding RNA. RefSeq lists it as uncharacterized. The transcript is spliced from 3 exons. The record is from RefSeq and is a predicted model, not a curated record. Lineage: Eukaryota; Metazoa; Chordata; Actinopteri; Centrarchiformes; Sinipercidae.